UCUCUCUUGAUCUCUCUUUCCCUCAUUUUCUUCAACUUGUUGUUCCUUCUUCGAUCUCUCUCCAACAAUCGAAGAAAAUAGAAGAAAGAAGAGAAAAUCGAAGGUACAAAUUCCAAAUGUAGUAUGGAUUGAUCGGAUGGUCAGUGGGAGCGACACUGGGUUAUGCACAGACUGCAAAGAUCAACCGUUGGAUGGACUUUGCCUUUCAUAGUAGUACCAACAGCUAUUGGAGCUUCCCUAGAUAUAAAUCUGAGCAAUGUGUCCCUUUUUUUCAUAUUUGUGACAUUUGCCACCAUGGUUGGUCUGUUAUUCCC
This is a long non-coding RNA of Magnolia sinica, 314 nucleotides long. RefSeq lists it as uncharacterized. The transcript is spliced from 3 exons. NCBI's taxonomy places the organism in Eukaryota, Viridiplantae, Streptophyta, Magnoliopsida, Magnoliales, Magnoliaceae. The record is from RefSeq and is a predicted model, not a curated record.